CAUUAAGUGCUAUUUUUGUGACUUUUGACCUUGAGUGCUAGUUUGGGAACAUAAACUUGAUUUAGUGCUAUUUUUGUCUUUUUCUCUAGAAACACUGAAAACAAUGAAAUCGACAAUUCAAAGAUGGGUCUGAAUAAAUGGGUCCCGUCCUAAUUUUUGUUUUAAAAAAAUUCUUAUAGUAUUUAUUACAAACUAUAUGAAAAUAUAUAAAAAUAAUUAUCUAAAUAAAAUUAAAAUGAAAAUAUAAACAAAUUCUUUACUUCAUUUUAUCAAAAAUUUAUAAAAGUUCACCUCUUCAAAUCAACUCAUAGCGCAAAACAUUAUUAAAAAGCAAACAUUGUUAUCGUACACAUUAUUUCCAAAUAAAAACCUAAAAUACAUUCAAUCAGAACUUUAAAAAAAAUUCCUCUCUAUCUGAGAUAAUAUACUUUGAAUCGAACAGUGGAACCAUUUAUGCUAUAUUUGUUUGACCUAAACAACCUUAAAACAAAGUAAUACACUGCUACCGUUAAGCACUAUCAAAUAGAUUAAAAACACUCAUUAUAUAAUAAAUAUACCAACCUGGCGCGUAUUGCCGGAAUACCACUAGUUUAUAUUAAAAAUUCAUAAACCAACCAAACAUGAAAUUUUGUGGAACAAUCUAUUUUAAAUUUGAGAUAUAUUAUAUAUAAAGUUAAUUGUUAAUCUAAAUCCUAGCAAAAAAAAAAAAAUUAUUUUUAUUUGGUUAUCUAUCUAUAAUAAUAAAGUUAGGUUAUGCUUUCUCUUCGGACCUCCGCAUCAUCAAUCGUAUGAGAGGCAUUUUGUUACAUCUGUCCUUAUCUAUUUUACUUUGUUUUGAUGUUUAAAAGAUGAAUAUUUUUGGUGGAUAUUUUUGGUGGGCUAUUAUUCUCUUAGGCUCAAUUGUUGUUAGGUUUGGUUAAUCUUCUUCACCAUAACUGUCGCGUUUAAGCAUUUUAUGCGAUUAUUCCCAUUCCUCACGUUCUCAAGCAAUCGGACUCUUCCUCUCCCAAAAACCAACGUAAGCUCCAACUAUAAAUCUCCAAUCUCCAAGGGAUGAACAACACAAUUUGAGAAGAAAAGUCUCUAAUAAUUACCAAAACCGAGAAUGGCUAAUUCCUUCAUCUUUCUUGCGACAGGGACCAGUCUCCAAGGUCUCUCUCUAUUCACCCUCUCGAUCACUCUCAACUUUGGAAGAUGACAGGCUUUAGAGUAUGUGAUCAGUGAUGCUACUGAGCCAAACCUGUUUUUCUUUCGUAAGCAAAAGAUAUAUUGUUCCGACAAGGCUAACGUAUAAUAAUAUCUUGGACAAUACUAUAAAUCAAGCUCCACAGCUCUGCAGUGUCUUUGCAGCUCGAGUUGGUUUGGCUGUUUUUAAUAUUUUGAAGGCUUUCUCUGCUGCUGCAUCGAAGUUGGAGACCAUUAGGCAGGGAGUCAGUUACAAAGUUUGUUGCGAGCGACUAGAUAUGUCCAUAAGACUGGACUGAGAGGGUAUAUGUGCUUUGUAUGAACUGCUUUGUAUGUCUAUGUGAUUAAGUUAAAAACCAUAACGCACCUUCUGAGACAAAGCCCCUGAUAGUACACAAGCUUUCACACCACUUCUCUUUCGCCUCUUUUUUUUGUGCUGUUGAUAAUACUGUGAGCAUGCGGUUUAUGAAAACUGGGAAACACGUACGAAUCGGAGUGGACUACUCAACUGCUACCUGGUUAAACACGGAGCUAGGAUAUACAGCAUACUUGGUUUGGUUAUCCGAAUAUGAAGGACGGUGGGCUUCACACUUCAACCAUUUCAGUUAAAACUCCAGUUUUUAAAAAUUGUAUUUGUUCAAACUAUGCCCAUGGAGAGAAGUAAUCAGUUCAUUGACCAAUAUUAUAUCAAAGGCCAUGUCCACUUUGACUCAAGUUUGAGCAAGCUCCAAGUUAUGAUGGAGGUUCCAAGGGGUAUCAACGUUGAUAACCGCAACAAUUUUUUUUUUCUGAUAUUGACGGUUCUUUGUUUCAUCAGUGAUCCAGGAAGCUACAUUAUUCUAUGAGACCAUUGUCUAUACGUACAUACGCAUAUGGUGAAGAUUAAAGGGUUUAGCUUAGAUUCGUGUGUCUGUUCAUUGGUUAAAGAAGCUGGUUCAUUGGUUAAUGAAGUUAAAUGGAGUAUUUUUGGUAGUAGUUUUUCUGUCUUAGACUCGGGUUUAGGCUUUGAGAUCGGUGAUCCUUCUCAAAGGACUCUAGUAGGAAAAGCAGUAAAACCAACUCAAAAAUCAAUCUCUACCUCUGGAGCUGUCAACUUGCGGAAAGUCAACAGGGUGAGAAUUGGAGUGCAAGCAAGAGUGACUAAACUUCUUAUGCGGUAAAGAGGAUUGGCUUAUUUAUGAAGAAGAGUCAGGUCUUUGUGUUUAGUAAGUUGCAUAGUCACAUGUGGUUUGUAUGAAAUAUCAAGCUUUGAAGGGUGAUUUGCUUUUAAAAUUUGGCUAUUUGGUUUGGGUCUAAUUUUUCAUUGUAAUGUGUUUCUGAUCAUGAACCGGUUUGAGCAAAUACUAUUUGUCGUCUACGUA
Long non-coding RNA from Brassica napus (rape), 2546 nucleotides. RefSeq lists it as uncharacterized. The record is from RefSeq and is a predicted model, not a curated record. Lineage: Eukaryota; Viridiplantae; Streptophyta; Magnoliopsida; Brassicales; Brassicaceae. The transcript is spliced from 9 exons.